Molecule: ribosomal RNA, 279 nt
Filed under: uncultured bacterium
Lineage: Bacteria
Description: partial 16S ribosomal RNA
Rfam family: Bacterial small subunit ribosomal RNA
Source: RNAcentral
UGCCAGCAUCCUCGGUAAUACGAAGGGUGCUAGCGUUGUUCGGAAUUACUGGGCGUAAAGAGCAUGUAGGCGGAUGAAUUAGUCAGAGGUGAAAGCCCCGAGCUCAACUUGGGAACUGCCUUUGAUACUGGCGAUCUUGAGUUCGAGAGAGGUGAGUGGAAUUCCGAGUGUAGAGGUGAAAUUCGUAGAUAUUCGGAGGAACACCAGUGGCGAAGGCGGCUCACUGGCUCGAUACUGACGCUGAGGUGCGAAAGCGUGGGGAGCAAACAGGAUUAGAUA